RNAcentral lists this ribosomal RNA (253 nucleotides) under uncultured bacterium. RNAcentral's name for it is "partial 16S ribosomal RNA". It matches the Rfam family "Bacterial small subunit ribosomal RNA", at positions 524 to 776 of the family's 1533-position model. The record is from RNAcentral.
UACGUAGGGUGCAAGCGUUGUCCGGAAUUAUUGGGCGUAAAGAGCUCGUAGGUGGCCUGUCGCGUCGGCUGUGAAAACUCGGGGCUCAACUCCGAGCUUGCAGUCGAUACGGGCAGGCUAGAGUUCGGCAGGGGAGACUGGAAUUCCUGGUGUAGCGGUGAAAUGCGCAGAUAUCGGGAGGAACACCAGUGGCGAAGGCGACGUCCUGGCCUGUUCUUGACGCUGAGGCGCGAAAGCUGGGGGAGCAAACGGG